This 274-nucleotide ribosomal RNA is filed under the name uncultured bacterium. RNAcentral's name for it is "partial 16S ribosomal RNA". It matches the Rfam family "Bacterial small subunit ribosomal RNA", at positions 523 to 796 of the family's 1533-position model. The record is from RNAcentral.
AUACGAAGGUGGCGAGCGUUGUUCGGAUUUACUGGGCGUAAAGAGCACGUAGGCGGUUGGGUAAGCCUCUUGGGAAAGCUCCCGGCUUAACCGGGAAAGGUCGAGGGGAACUACUCAGCUAGAGGACGGGAGAGGAGCGCGGAAUUCCCGGUGUAGCGGUGAAAUGCGUAGAUAUCGGGAAGAAGGCCGGUGGCGAAGGCGGCGCUCUGGAACGUACCUGACGCUGAGGUGCGAAAGCGUGGGGGGCAAACAGGAUUAGAAACCCCGGUAGUCC